GCUGGGAUAGCUCAGCUGGUAGAGCAUCUCCAUGGUAAGGAGAAGGUCGUGGGUUCGAUUCCCAUUCCCAGCU
This is a transfer RNA of Elusimicrobium minutum Pei191, 73 nucleotides long. It matches the Rfam family "tRNA". Rfam says of the family: Transfer RNA (tRNA) molecules are approximately 80 nucleotides in length. Their secondary structure includes four short double-helical elements and three loops (D, anti-codon, and T loops). The record is from Rfam. Lineage: Bacteria; Pseudomonadati; Elusimicrobiota; Elusimicrobia; Elusimicrobiales; Elusimicrobiaceae.